Molecule: ribosomal RNA, 232 nt
Filed under: uncultured bacterium
Lineage: Bacteria
Description: partial 16S ribosomal RNA
Rfam family: Bacterial small subunit ribosomal RNA
Source: RNAcentral
CGGACGGGUGAGUAAUGUCUGGGAAACUGCCUGAUGGAGGGGGAUAACUACUGGAAACGGUAGCUAAUACCGCAUAACGUCGCAAGACCAAAGAGGGGGGCCUUCGGGCCUCUUGCCAUCGGAUGUGCCCAGAUGGGAUUAGCUAGUAGGUGGGGUAACGGCUCACCUAGGCGACGAUCCCUAGCUGGUCUGAGAGGAUGACCAGCCACACUGGAACUGAGACACGGUCCAG